GACGUAGGGCGCGAGCGUUGUCCGGAUUUAUUGGGCGUAAAGAGCGUGUAGGCGGCCAAGCAGGUCAGCUGUGAAAACUCGAGGCUCAACCUCGAGACGUCGGUUGAAACCGCUUGGCUAGAGUCCGGAAGAGGAGAGUGGAAUUCCCGGUGUAGCGGUGAAAUGCGCAGAUAUCGGGAAGAACACCCGUGGCGAAGGCGGCUCUCUGGGACGGUACUGACGCUGAGACGCGAAAGCGUGGGGAGCGAACAGG
This 253-nucleotide ribosomal RNA is filed under the name uncultured bacterium. RNAcentral describes it as "partial 16S ribosomal RNA". It matches the Rfam family "Bacterial small subunit ribosomal RNA", at positions 524 to 776 of the family's 1533-position model. The record is from RNAcentral.